Molecule: long non-coding RNA, 229 nt
Filed under: Elaeis guineensis (African oil palm)
Lineage: Eukaryota; Viridiplantae; Streptophyta; Magnoliopsida; Arecales; Arecaceae
Description: long non-coding RNA (EGUI_LNC031307)
Source: RNAcentral
ACGUGUUCACGAUCAAACGAUAUGCUAUUAUUAGAACGAUAGCUAUAUCAAGUAUAGAUUGUUGUGUGGCAUAUGAGUUGGUUGUCCUUUUAAUCAAAGAGUAUGAAGAUUCUGGUAUAAUCUGUAGGUGAGAUGUAGGAGUACAUCUCACGAAAUAUGAUCCAACUGCAGAACACUCUGCUGUCAAGAGUAGCUUAUGAAGGAUAUGGAUAUAAGAGUCCCUCGGACC